ACCGCUGCGUGGCGCAGUGGGAGCGCGCCGGAACUAUAAACCCGGAGGACACCAGAUCGAAACUGGUCGCAGCCAA
Periconia digitata is the source of this 76-nucleotide non-coding RNA. NCBI's taxonomy places the organism in Eukaryota, Fungi, Ascomycota, Dothideomycetes, Pleosporales, Periconiaceae. The record is from the annotation of a GenBank genome assembly.